ACCCAGAAUAGCUCCGCUGCUAGAGCAUCAAACUCUUAAUCUCAGGGUCGUGGGUUUGAGUCCCCCAUUGGGCA
Podarcis lilfordi (Lilford's wall lizard) is the source of this 74-nucleotide non-coding RNA. NCBI's taxonomy places the organism in Eukaryota, Metazoa, Chordata, Lepidosauria, Squamata, Lacertidae. The record is from the annotation of a GenBank genome assembly.